Molecule: ribosomal RNA, 389 nt
Filed under: uncultured bacterium
Lineage: Bacteria
Description: bacterial SSU rRNA
Rfam family: Bacterial small subunit ribosomal RNA
Source: RNAcentral
AUUGAACGCUGGCGGCAUGCCUUACACAUGCAAGUCGAACGGCAGCACGGGGGCAACCCUGGUGGCGAGUGGCGAACGGGUGAGUAACACAUCGGAACGUGUCCUGUUGUGGGGGAUAACCAGUCGAAAGACUGGCUAAUACCGCAUGAGCUGGAGACAGGAAAGCGGGGGGACCUGAAAGGGCCUCGUGCGACUGGAGCGGCCGAUGUCCGAUUAGCUAGUUGGUGGGGAAAGGCCCACCAAGGCGACGAUCGGUAGCUGGUCUGAGAGGAUGAUCAGCCACACUGGGGACUGAGACACGGGCCCAGACUCCUACGGGGAGGCAGCAGUGGGGAAUUUUGGACAAUGGGGGCAACCCUGAUCCAGCCAUGCCGCGUGAGUGAAGAAGG